GGUAAUAGUGACAUCCACAGCGUUAAAGAUUUGUGUUUACUGAAACCAGAAUUUCUUCGGUUAACAUUCCAAGCAAUCGCAUGUUGCCUAGAUAACGUCCAACCCAAAGAUGCAGAUACGUGGAGUGAAGAGGCGACCGACUGCUUUGAAGCCCUUACCUACGCUUGCCAGUGGAAACCUCUUAUGGCCCGCGUCAACUGUUACACAGAGCCGAGUGAGAAAAUGACCAAUGCAAUGCCUAUGCCUUGCAUUGAUUUGGUUGAUACCUCCAGCAAAGAUGAAGAUAUACGUGUAGGUCUAGAACUAAUUAAACAAGGUUUUGCUGUUCGAGUAAGACCGGAACCUAGUGAUAACCCAGAGAUUCCUGUGAAUUCUAGUUCCUCUUUACCUAAUAGCAAUGAUAUUAGUAGAAAUUCAACCAAUCGUCAAUCCCGAGGUCCAGCCACCCAAGAGCGUCCAGUUAUCAAAGCUUGCCCAGCAGGCUAUGAGGAUGAACUAGUGGAAGACGAAGAUGACUUCGACUUUUACUAGCUAAUCUCUUGCAACUCCUUAAAACUAGUGAUGUUCUAAUGGAUUACCGUACAACACCAGACUUAUUGAUUUAUUAAAUUUUUAGUAAAACAAAUUUGCUGCAGUAGCUGAAAUUCAACAUCCUUCUAUAUCUUCAGGAAGUUUGCUCAUCCAUUUACAUUAUAUCAUUUCGCUCACUCAUUUUAUUCAGUAAACAGGGUCUCAUUCCUCAAGGUUCUCUAUGUAGGCUCUAAUCCUGAUAAUAAAUUGAAGGCAUAAGUCAAAAGCAAAGCUCCAUUGCAGCAUUUCAAAAUCUCCGAUCAUGUUUUAAUUUUUAAGAGGAAAAAACCAAAAUAUAUUUCAACAAGUGAAUAUUAUGCAUGGAAAAUUUUGUGAGAAACUGGUCGUUUGUUUUUUUUUAAAAAAACUAAUAUCUAAAAUAAAUAUUAGUGGAGAUUUGCAACUUCAUAACCGAAAAUAUGUAUUUUUCAGCUGUAUUAAAUGAUAUGCACUUCCUCUCUUUUCAACGACCUUUAUUUUGAGCAGCUAUUGUUUUGAAAUUUUCGGUGGAACUUUCAAAAUUCUUAUCUUCCGUCUACUGAUAAAUGUCAGGAAAACUGAAUUUUUGUUGAUGUAAAUAAAAGUUUGGGUGUACUCUUAAUCUGAUAUUGGGACAUCUCUAUGAAACCAAUAAUGUGCCACUUUCUAAUUUUAGUUUUUUUUAAUCUUUCUAAGAUUAUUUGUUUAAAUAUAUUUGUUGCAAUUAAUGGUAACCACUAGAUAUGUGUAUUUUUUUUUUUUUUUUUUUUUUUUUUUUUUUUUUUUUUUUUUUUUUUUUUUAAAUGAUAGGAAACUAUACCAAGAGACCACCGGUAGCAUCAGGAUACAAUUUCAUUUACAUUGUAAUUUUAAAUUGCUUCGAGGACAAUACCUGUUCAAGAAUCUAUCUCUUUCCUAAGGAAAUUCAACUCAUGAAGGGACAUUUUUUUCUCUCUCCCGUAAGUUUUCUUUCAGGGGCAUAAAAGGACCAAAUAAGUUUUUAUCUCGAAUGUUUUAACAAGUGAUAUUUAUGUUAAAUUGAAGAAUCGUCUUUUUCAAAUGACAAUUCUCAGAAUCAAGAAGCUGUGAGAUUUGUUGAGACCCUAUGCUUCUCCUACCUUCAUACUCUACAAAGUUGUGCUUUAGCUCACUGCACUUUGACUGGAUUUGAAUCUUUUGUAAAAAUAUUUCAAAAUGGCGGAGAUACCUAAUUAAUUAUCAAUAGUUGAGCUUGGAUGCAAAAUUAUGUGUCAAUUUUUCUAUAGUUGGCCUUACAACUUUUAUUUUGUAUACCUAGAUUAAGACCUUUUUCAGUCAAUGCUUAUGAACGUAACAAGCAGUGGAUGUACUUAACAAAUUGUUGAUGUAUGUAAUGCUAGUUUUUAUGCCCUCCUUGUAGCAGUAAGUAAUACACGGUAUUAUGAUAGUGAAGCAGUCCACUAAGAAUAAUUUUUUAUUGACAGUGAUCAGUUGUUGAGAGUGACUAUAAAAUUUGUAAUCCGUUGUUUACAUGACAUCAAAGUAUGUAAAAGUGGUGGUGGCUUGAAAAUCUUUAAAGUCAAUUUUGAAGCAUCGAACGUGAAAGGCGAUGAAUUUUGAAUAUUAUGGCUGUGAUUCAUUAAUUCUGACAUAUUUUCUUGCCUAUUCAUACUUCUUGUGAAGAAUCAAGAGGCAAGUAAUUCAAAUUCUCAGGUUUUUACCACUGCUCAUUCUUGCAGAAAUUAAGAGAGUUCAAUUUCCUCUCUCUCCUUCCCCCCUCAUCUAUCAACUAUCUGAGCUGAUGAAGUGAAUGGUAACUCUUACUAUUUCUUUUCACUCUUCAUGAAAUAAUGCACCAAAUUAUGCUGCUCCGUACAGCUCUACUCCCAGCAAGAGGGAACUCUGUUGUUUUGUUUUUGAAUUUUUUCUUUUACUUAAUAACAAUCUUUCGCCCAACUGGUUAGCUUCCUCUAUAAAAAUUUGUUCUUUGAUCUUUUUUUCCAAAUAAGUCACCUCAUUUAACUAGUGAUGGUUAUUUUGAGUCAUUUGUCUCCUACUACUAUUGCAGAAAAAAAAAUUAUCCGAUUUUUUCUGCCACAGGAAAAUUACAUAAAUGUGAAUGAAUCAUUAUUGAACAACAGACUAACAUGAAAAAUUCUAAAUUUUAUGAAUAAUUCAAUGGUAGUACCAUUGUGUUGGUAAUGAGCAAAAUAUCAAUCUGACCCUAAAGUGGUCUUAGAUUCGUUGUCGAGAGAUUGUUUAGACUAGCCUGACUCAUACAAACAUUUUGUCAUGAAGCUAACAAUGAUUAGAUAAAACUAUAUCAAGUCAACUGAAAAUUUUGUAGUAAAUAUGUGUUGGUAAUCAAUUCAACAAACCUAAUCUGAGCAUAGGUAAUGUAAUGUAAAAUAUUAAUGUAUAAAUAUGGUGGUAUGUACCAACUUAUGUGGGUAUAAUUUCCUCAAAUGAAUUCGACGUCCGUUUAAUGCUGAAAAUUGUUGGGCAUAGGUACCCACCAUGACUGAUUUGUGUGUUGUACCAUUAUUUGUUUUUAUUAAAUUUUUAUUAUUUUUCCUUCUUAAAAUCUGUCAGUGAAUGAUGAAAUUUCUCUCAAGUGUUAUUGUUGGCUUUUUUUCGUUUCCUCUGUGGCUUGAGAGGGUUUGAGUCAGAAAUUUUUCAUCCAAGUUCAUUUUAUUCUAAUGCGAUACUUUUUUACCACUCAGAUAUUAGUUGCUUAUAAAACUUUGAAACAAGAUACUUGUCUACUUUCUGCUUACCUCUUUUAGUUGUGACUUUUAUAUCUAGAUACCCUAAAAUUGAGCUGGAACAUUCUUGGAAUCAUUGUCCUCAGUUUUUUACUGUAGACAACCCCCCCCCCCCCUCUAGUUUUUAAGAAAACCAGUCAUUAUAAUGCAUAGCCUAUCUUUUUUCAUAGUGAUUUGGAUUGAAUGGCAUUCUUCAAUAAGAGCCUACCAUAAGAUAAUGUUCAAAGUUAAUUUUUUUGGAGGAAGAUAUUCUUGAUUCAUUUUUUUUUUCAUUCCCUGAAAAAUUUUAGUUUUCAGACUGCCACUCAGGUUCUUUACGAAAUCGACAUUUUACAGAAGAACUUUUUUGGUAGAUCUUUAGGUACUUCAAUUACUUUUUCAUUUCCUAGGAAUUUUUAAUUUUCAAACAGGGCACUCCUUGAGAUGAGACAUUCAAUUAUGACACGGUUUUGAAAAAAAUUCUACUGUUCAUCUGUACCACGAAGCUGAAGAUUAUAUCAGGAAAUAAUUUUAACACCCCAUUUUGUUUAAUUUUGCUCAUUUUUGUUACUUUUAAAUUUUGUCUUUACCUGUUUAUUUUUCCUUUUAUAUUUGUUUCUACAUUUGCAACCAGAUUAAAUCUCAAUAAAGAUUCAUAAUCAAAAUCAAUACCCCACUUUGUCAAUUUUUUAAUUUUC
This 3970-nucleotide long non-coding RNA is filed under the name Bemisia tabaci. RNAcentral describes it as "lncRNA ENSSSA2NGG010645". The record is from RNAcentral. Lineage: Eukaryota; Metazoa; Arthropoda; Insecta; Hemiptera; Aleyrodidae.